UACCAGACUCCUACGGGAGGCAGCAGUGGGGGAUAUUGCACAAUGGGGGAAACCCUGAUGCAGCGACGCCGCGUGAGUGAAGAAGUAUUUCGGUAUGUAAAGCUCUCUCAGCAGGGAAGAAAAAAGACGGUACCUGACUAAGAAGCCCCGGCUAACUACGUGCCAGCAGCCGCGGUAAUACGUAGGGGGCAAGCGUUAUCCGGAUUUACUGGGUGUAAAGGGAGCGUAGACGGCAAUACAAGCCAGGAGUGAAAGCCCGGGGCCCAACCCCGGGACUGCUCUUGGAACUGCAUGGCUGGAGUACAGGAGGGGCAGGCGGAAUUCCUAGUGUAGCGGUGAAAUGCGUAGAUAUUAGGAGGAACACCGGUGGCGAAGGCGGCCUGCUGGACUGUGACUGACGUUGAGGCCCGAAGGCGUGGGGAGCAAACAGGAUUAGAUACCCUAGUACGA
Molecule: ribosomal RNA, 450 nt
Filed under: uncultured bacterium
Lineage: Bacteria
Description: partial 16S ribosomal RNA
Rfam family: Bacterial small subunit ribosomal RNA
Source: RNAcentral